Molecule: non-coding RNA, 124 nt
Organism: Xenorhabdus beddingii
Lineage: Bacteria; Pseudomonadati; Pseudomonadota; Gammaproteobacteria; Enterobacterales; Morganellaceae
Source: Rfam
CUCAGUCAGUAGAGCCGUUGGCUUUUAAUCAAUGGGUCGCAGGUUCGAGCCGAGCGAAGCGAGACAACGAUGCGUGAGCAUCGGCCCGAAGGGUGAGUAGCUAGUAAAUCCAUGAGCAAAAAUU